UGCUUGCUGGAUGAGUUUGAAAUGGUACCCAUAGAAUUAGCAAACCACAAAUGGGUAUUAGCAGGGCGUUUUCUGACCUGGAUUCCCCAGCAAACCAGUUGUCAAUUUCAAUAACUUUUACUGCCUUGUCUCACCUGUGCCUGGAUUGACCUACAAGAGCCACCCAUGGGGUUCAGGAAAGAAAAGGGCCAGAUAAGGGCAAUCCAGGGUUAGCCCUACACUGAGAAGAGUUCUUUUGGGGAGAGAAUUAUGAGGAUGAGCUGAGCCAGUGAGCUUGUCAUUCUUUUAGUGAAGUAGAAAUUUUGGAGACCUCUUUCCUCUAACUGUACAUGACAUUGUAACUGCAUGGCUCUCUCAAAGCUUUCUCAGGCUGGUUGUUUGACAAACCACAACUGAGACUAAAAAGUGUAAGAGAUUUUCUCCAUCCUGAAACAUUGCUGAGAAUUCACCACUGAUGGCCUGUGGUAAGGAAGCAAAGCUUUAAAGAUCUGGAUCCUGGCAUCAGAGAGUCAGCACUUAAAACUUUUGCUGGUACAGCAAUGUCAGGUAAAACUCCAAUUGCCACCAGCGGGAGCAUUGCAUCUGUAAAGAAUGAGGAACUGGGACUUUCACCUGUCUCGUGUGACUGUCGAGAUAACAGUGAAACAGAAAGCUGCUAACUAUAAUGAUGAGAUUGUUAUUUUUAACUGGGGAAGAAGGCUGAUCUGGUGGUUAAGUCACAGGAAUGGGAGUCAAGAGACCUGGCAGAGUGAAAUCAAAAUCAGAGUAGUAUUCGCAGCUCUGCCUCUGACCUGUGGGACCUUGAGCAAGUCACUUCCCCUCUGUCUCUCUCUUUCUCCUGCCACCCAAUAUCCGACUUAUCUACAGGACUGCCUCUCCCUGUGUGUAUGCACAGUGCAUAGUACAAUGGGACCCUGAUGUCAGGAUUGUGGCCUCUGUAAUACAAGUAAUAAGUGUCCUAUAGGCCUGCUCUAAGCAGGGUUAGAUAACAUGGUGCUUGGGAUAAAAGUGGCUUCCUGGAUCCCUGCCUGCUGUAGACUCCCCUCUGUUGCUACCCCUAAUAGAGCUAAACUAACAUUAAUGGCAAUAGUGAUUUUGUGGCCAAAAAAGUCCAGGUUUGACAUCCCUGUGCCUGGUUCCCCACCUGUGAAAGAGACACAAUCAUCUGGACCUCCCCAAGAGGUCUGGUAACAACAUACGAUGAUGCCUGAGAAGGACUUUAUGGUCCUUGGAUAGAAGGAGCAACAUAGCUGCAAAGGGUCAUUGAUAUUUUCUUUCAUUUUAGUACAUUUCAGAUACUUAUCAACCAUGUUAUGAAUUAUUGCCCUUUGUAAUGAGAUGUGAUUAGGAUCUUUUAAAUAUGACAGAGUCAUCUGCUUUUCCUUUAAGUCUCAAGUUUUUAUUCCUUAUGUGGUCAUGUGGUAACAUAUCGAGCUACUGUUGGACUUGCGAGAAAUGUUGUAUUAUUUUGCUUUGGAAUAGAAUCCCUGACUUCUAAACGCUCAUUCUAAUCCUUCUAAAACAGUAUCUGAUCCGGUUAUUAAAAGUAACUUCUAAGAACCAAACAAUUAAGUAUGAAAUGGGUUGAUUUUGCCACUACACCUGCUGAGUAGUAGCUCAUUCUGUGAGCAGGCCUGUGGAACCCAAGGGUAGAAUUGGCGUGGAAUGGUACUGUUCAUGGAACAGGGGACUAAUUAAGGUACAAAGUGCAUUUGGGGCAGGGCUGGCCCUUCUGUGAUUGGCUGUCACAGUGUUGCCAAGUCUCAUGGUAUUUGCUGUUUUCUCUUAAAGCAUCAACUCCUGGGGUCACGUGAUUCGGUGAGAAUCUCGACUUUAAAAAAGGAAGUUACUAGCA
Molecule: long non-coding RNA, 1855 nt
Organism: Chelonia mydas (Green sea turtle)
Lineage: Eukaryota; Metazoa; Chordata; Testudines; Cheloniidae
Exons: 4
Source: RefSeq, a predicted model, not a curated record